GACGAACGCUGGCGGCGUGCUUAACACAUGCGAGUCGAACGGAAAGGCCCUGCUUGCAGGGUACUCGAGUGGCGAACGGGUGAGUAACACGUGGGUGAUCUGCCCUGCACUUCGGGAUAAGCCUGGGAAACUGGGUCUAAUACCGGAUAGGAGCCAUUUUUAGUGUGAUGGUUGGAAAGUUUUUUCGGUGUAGGAUGAGCUCGCGGCCUAUCAGCUUGUUGGUGGGGUAAUGGCCUACCAAGGCGGCGACGGGUAGCCGGCCUGAGAGGGUGGACGGCCACAUUGGGACUGAGAUACGGCCCAGACUCCGACGGGAGGCAGCAGUGGGGAAUCUUGCACCAUGGGCGCCAGCCUGAUGCAGCGACGCCGCGGGGGGGAUGACGGCCUUCGGGUUGUAAACUCCCUUCGCUAGGGACGAAGCUUUUUGUGACGGUACCUAGAUAAGAAGCACCGGCUAACUACGUG
RNAcentral lists this ribosomal RNA (465 nucleotides) under uncultured bacterium. Its description in RNAcentral is "partial 16S ribosomal RNA". It matches the Rfam family "Bacterial small subunit ribosomal RNA", at positions 28 to 507 of the family's 1533-position model. The record is from RNAcentral.